Perca flavescens (yellow perch) is the source of this 1788-nucleotide long non-coding RNA. RefSeq lists it as uncharacterized. Lineage: Eukaryota; Metazoa; Chordata; Actinopteri; Perciformes; Percidae. The record is from RefSeq and is a predicted model, not a curated record. The transcript is spliced from 4 exons.
AUAGCUGCUGGACCAAUCAGUGUUGUUCUCCUGGCUGUCCUAUCCCUCUCUGUCUUCCUGUGGAUCAGAAAGAGGAGGGCUUCCAGGGACUCGUCUGGACCAGACAACAGGGAACAGUGUGUACCUGAUCCGAGUGAGCCAGAGGAGCAGGCUGACCUUCAGUACGCCACCAUCCACGUCUCCAACAGCCAGGCAGAUCCUCUGUACUCCAACAUCAGAGCUGCUCCGCCCCUCAGACACAGGGAGCAACAGGAAGCCGUUGAGUACGCUGCCGUCAGCUUCAACAGUGGCAGUACUGCCCCGAGAACCAGAGGUCGGGACACUGGAGAGGAUCCAGCUGCUUUGUACAGCACAGUCAACAACCCCCGAUGAAAACAGGCAUUGCAUUUAUAGUCUGAUUAUUUUCCCCAAAAAAUGAUUUAAAUUAAUCAGGUAACCAUUGAUUUUUAUACAUUUUAUUUUAAGGAUGACCCUCUCCAAGAAUGUACAAAGAGACAAUUAUAAAUCUUCUAGAAACUUAAACAUAAUCCAGUGUUCAGUUAUUUUACUCUGUAUGAGUCAGCUGUAAAGAAUGAGUUAAGUAUUUCAUGAUUUAAUUUGUUAAAUUGUAUAUAUACUAUAAAAGUGACCUUUUAUGUGCGGUUUGAAUUAGUCUCUAACUGGUCUUCCUCCCAAACGUCCCCGUGCAGACACUAAAACAUACCUGAAGUAGUUGUUAAUGCAACAAGGGAUGUGAUCCCCAACUGGCUUCCCUCCUGCAAACACUGGAAGUUGUUUUUGUUGGAAAGCACGGUCAAGCCAACAAUGGCAAUGUUUUCAUAUUUCUUUUUAAAUUUCUUUUUUUAUGGAUAUAUUUGAUGGUGACGGUAGAGAAAAAGUCAGAAAAUGUGAGGAGAAAGUUAUAACAUGCAACAAAGGUUGCUGGCUGGAAUAAUACCUUUGACGUUGCGAUUAACUGAUUGGCAUCUUAAUCAUUAGGCCUUUAAACAUUUUCUGACAUGCAAAUUAGCACCAAAAACAAAUGACAGCAGAGGUCAGUCAUAAAGAGAAGACUUGGGUAGAAGUGUUCAGUCUUUAACAACGACUCUUCAAACUCCACUGACUAUAUUACAUCACUGUUGUCAGUGGCUUCAAAUCUUUUUGUAAUCAUUGGUGUGUUUUUAUGAAAGUCUUUUAAAUGUAAAGACACCAACUUCCUGUUCAUUUUAAACCAGUGUGCAUGAUGGGAUCACAGAGAGGCAGUGCUGACCUCAAAGUUUAAACUGUGACCUGGAAGGGCUGGAAGAUUUUUACCAGGGGACACAUUUCCCCUGAGAAGUAGAUUCUAAAUGACUGUAAAGUUACAACUUCUUAUUUUGCUGCUUUGCUAUUGUAGAGAACAUGUGUUUCAUGUGUAGUUUCCAGCUGUUGCUACUAGAUAUAAGUAUAGAGUUAUAUUUUACUAUUUUACUGAUAAUAGACCAUUUCUGUUUUCCUGCCAAGUGGAUUUCUGUAUAAAUAAUACUCAAAAUCUUUACCAUGUCAUUCUUCUUCUCUCUUUUUUUAACCAGUUCUAUCACAACUACCCUUAUUGUGAGUCAAAUAUCAAUUAUCAGUAUUAUUGUACUUAUUUUGUGAAUGAUUUCUUCUGCCUCACCUGCUCAUUACAAUCAUCUAUAUUGCUGUCUUAUUAUUACAUUAACAAUUGUUUGUACUUUCACCACUGCAUGUACUGCAUGUUGACUUUUGUACUUGUACUAUAUUGUUUUUUGUCUUGCUAAAAUAAAAUUUAAAACAAAAUGUUCAGUU